GUGAGCCAGGAAGAGGAAGAAAGAGAGAGCCUAAGAGCAGUGGGAAUGGGAACAUGGAGGAAAGCCUAAAAACCAAAUUUCUUCCUCCAGCAAUGGAGGUGGAAAUUUGGUUUGGUUUUUUCCCGAUGCCUCCCAUUCCUAUCGUUCUUAAGCACUUCUUCCUCUUCCUUUCAGCUCGC
RNAcentral lists this microRNA precursor (179 nucleotides) under Oryza sativa (Asian cultivated rice). RNAcentral describes it as "miR2118n stem-loop (osa-MIR2118n)". It matches the Rfam family "MIR2118 microRNA precursor family". Lineage: Eukaryota; Viridiplantae; Streptophyta; Magnoliopsida; Poales; Poaceae. The record is from miRBase by way of RNAcentral.